GUUUACUUUUCAAGAUGUCGCAAAAAGAAAACACCGGCACGGUGAAAGUGAUCAGAGUUUAACUCGUGAUCUACGCUUGUACAAAAAUAGCUUUCCUAAUUGCGUUUGUCCAUCUCGUUCAGCGUGUACAAGACCGAUAAAAGCCGUAAAACAACUUUACAACGACGAGAUGCUGGAAUUAUCGAAUUAUCGUAACGAAGGCGAGACUCGAUAAGACUAGAGAGAGAAGGAUUCGCGGAGGAUUUGAAGAGGACGAGGAUGGAGGAGGCGAUAGAACACCUGGCUGAGGGCUGCGGACGCGGGAGUGCGGGAGUGCGAGGAUGAGCACGGAGGUCUUUCUGGACGACGCAGGAACGAGCCUAGAGAAAAUGAAAAGAAUUUCGAGGGACAAGAAGGAAAGAGGGGUAGGCGCAGAGGCGAAGGGCCGACGGGAGGAGGAAGGAGGACACCGGAGGAGGGUCGGGGGACAGGAGGAGGGAACGGCACGAAAGAAAGGGGUAAUAACAGCAGGAUAAAGUGCAGGUUUAGCCUGUAAUUAGAAAGAAAAACAGCUACCACAAUCUCAUCCGGAAUAAACAAGAAUCAUGAUCAAUUCUUUGUGCAGUAACUGACGCUACUCUCCGGUCGAGACAGCGCGCCCCAAUCGCGCUCUCGGGCCACUAUAGCUCGCCGGCAUACUUCGACUUUAUUAACCUAUUAUUGGC
Long non-coding RNA from Bombus pyrosoma, 704 nucleotides. RefSeq lists it as uncharacterized. The record is from RefSeq and is a predicted model, not a curated record. The transcript is spliced from 3 exons. Lineage: Eukaryota; Metazoa; Arthropoda; Insecta; Hymenoptera; Apidae.